CGAUUUUUCAAGCACAGUAAUCUCCAUAGAAUAGCGAGCGAGAAUACUCUCACCUUUGCCAAGCGCCUACUUGAAGUUUCAUCUUUCCUUACGCGCAGAAAUUCACGUCGCAUGUUCAUUCUGACGAUACUCGUGGUCUUUCGUGAGGUUCGUGACCAGAAACCUUGGACCAUGUUUCCCUCGUUUCGAAAUGUUUCUUCCCUCUUGGUCUCUUCAUCAUCCACUGAAUUCUUAAACACAUACUCCCAUCCUGACACAUACUUUAACUAUAUAGGAUUUUUCCAACCUAACAAAUCCCUUAGAGGUUUACAACAGUCAGGUUAUGCUUACAAGCUCAUGAUGACCUGUUUCCCUUUUUAAUUGAAAAGUAUUAGCAGCAGCGUGAACAGAAAAUGUCUUCUUGUGGAAUUUUACAUCAAACAUUUUUAUUUUCUUCAGUAAAAGCAUAUUUUCGCGUCUGAGUUUUGCAAUCAUUUAAUAACUUAGGGGCUGUUACGGGUCAAGCUUUUCUUAGAACUAACCUCUCUUGCAGACUACCUUCGUGCAAAGGGAACCCUUAGUGAGGAUACCAUCCAUAUUUUUUUACGUCAAAUAGCUUCUGCCAUGUGCAUGCUGCAAUCCAAAGGUGUUGUGCACAGAGAUCUAAAGCCUCAGAAUCUACUGCUGCACUAUGCAGGGACAACCACACCCUCACCAUCACAGAUCAAAAUAAAGAUUGCUGACUUUGGGUUUGCAAGAUUUCUCCCUGGUAAAAUGAUGGCUGCUACUUUAUGUGGAUCUCCUAUGUACAUGG
Molecule: long non-coding RNA, 793 nt
Organism: Stylophora pistillata
Lineage: Eukaryota; Metazoa; Cnidaria; Anthozoa; Scleractinia; Pocilloporidae
Source: RefSeq, a predicted model, not a curated record